This 609-nucleotide ribosomal RNA is filed under the name Neoporus clypealis. RNAcentral's name for it is "SSU rRNA". It matches the Rfam family "Eukaryotic small subunit ribosomal RNA", at positions 22 to 601 of the family's 1831-position model. The record is from RNAcentral. RNAcentral also lists the same sequence under 1 other name. Lineage: Eukaryota; Metazoa; Arthropoda; Insecta; Coleoptera; Dytiscidae.
AGUCAUAUGCUUGUCUCAAAGAUUAAGCCAUGCAUGUCUCAGUACAAGCCCGAUUAAGGUGAAACCGCGAAAGGCUCAUUAAAUCAGUUAUGGUUCCUUAGAUCGUACCCACACUUACUUGGAUAACUGUGGUAAUUCUAGAGCUAAUACAUGCAAACAGAGCUCCGACCGGAGACGGGAGGAGUGCUUUUAUUAGAACAAAACCAAUCGGCGGCGGGCGCGUUCGCGCGUCCGUUCGCCGCUCAACCUGGUGACUCUGAAUAACUUUCCGCUGAUCGCACGGUCUCGCACCGGCGACGCAUCUUUCAAAUGUCUGCCUUAUCAACUGUCGAUGGUAGGUUCUGCGCCUACCAUGGUCGUAACGGGUAACGGGGAAUCAGGGUUCGAUUCCGGAGAGGGAGCCUGAGAAACGGCUACCACAUCCAAGGAAGGCAGCAGGCGCGCAAAUUACCCACUCCCGGCACGGGGAGGUAGUGACGAAAAAUAACGAUACGGGACUCAUCCGAGGCCCCGUAAUCGGAAUGAGUACACUUUAAAUCCUUUAACAAGGACCAAUUGGAGGGCAAGUCUGGUGCCAGCAGCCGCGGUAAUUCCAGCUCCAAUAGCGUA